This 1402-nucleotide ribosomal RNA is filed under the name uncultured bacterium. RNAcentral describes it as "16S ribosomal RNA". It matches the Rfam family "Bacterial small subunit ribosomal RNA". The record is from RNAcentral.
UAGAGUUUGAUCCUGGCUCAGGAUGAACGCUAGUUACAGGCUUAACACAUGCAAGUCGAGGGGAAACGACAUUGAAGCUUGCUUCAAUGGGCGUCGACCGGCGCACGGGUGAGUAACGCGUAUCCAACCUGCCUCUGACUAAGGGAUAACCCGGCGAAAGUCGGACUAAUACCUUAUGAGGCUUUCAGCAGACAUCUAAUGAAAACGAAAGAUUUAUCGGUCAGUGAUGGGGAUGCGUCUGAUUAGCUUGUUGGCAGGGUAACGGCCCACCAAGGCAACGAUCAGUAGGGGUUCUGAGAGGAAGGUCCCCCACAUUGGAACUGAGACACGGUCCAAACUCCUACGGGAGGCAGCAGUGAGGAAUAUUGGUCAAUGGGCGAGAGCCUGAACCAGCCAAGUAGCGUGCAGGAUGACGGCCCUAUGGGUUGUAAACUGCUUUUAUGUGGGGAUAAAGUGAGCUACGUGUAGUUUAUUGCAGGUACCACAUGAAUAAGGACCGGCUAAUUCCGUGCCAGCAGCCGCGGUAAUACGGAAGGUCCAGGCGUUAUCCGGAUUUAUUGGGUUUAAAGGGAGCGUAGGCCGUGGAUUAAGCGUGUUGUGAAAUGUAGACGCUCAACGUCUGAAUUGCAGCGCGAACUGGUUCACUUGAGUAUGCACAACGUAGGCGGAAUUCGUCGUGUAGCGGUGAAAUGCUUAGAUAUGACGAAGAACUCCGAUUGCGAAGGCAGCUUACGGGAGCACAACUGACGCUGAAGCUCGAAGGUGCGGGUAUCAAACAGGAUUAGAUACCCUGGUAGUCCGCACAGUAAACGACCCAAAAGGGUUGUUAGUUCACUUUAAGAAUUAGCGACCAAGCGAAAGCAUUAAGCAUCCCACCUGGGGAGUACGCCGGCAACGGUGAAACUCAAAGGAAUUGACGGGGGCCCGCACAAGCGGAGGAACAUGUGGUUUAAUUCGAUGAUACGCGAGGAACCUUACCCGGGCUUGAAUUGCAGACGAACGAUUCAGAGAUGAUGAGGCCCUUCGGGGCGUCUGUGAAGGUGCUGCAUGGUUGUCGUCAGCUCGUGCCGUGAGGUGUCGGCUUAAGUGCCAUAACGAGCGCAACCCCUUUUUUCAGUUGCCAUCAGGUAAUGCUGGGCACUCUGGAGAUACUGCCACCGUAAGGUGUGAGGAAGGUGGGGAUGACGUCAAAUCAGCACGGCCCUUACGUCCGGGGCUACACACGUGUUACAAUGGCCGGUACAGAGCGUUGGUCGUGUGCAAAUACGAUCUAAUCCUUAAAGCCGGUCCCAGUUCGGACUGGGGUCUGCAACCCGACCCCACGAAGCUGGAUUCGCUAGUAAUCGCGCAUCAGCCAUGGCGCGGUGAAUACGUUCCCGGGCCUUGUACUCACCGCCCGUCA